GAUAAAGAACGUAGCGAAAUGCGAUACGUAAUGUGAAUUGCAGAAUUCAGUGAAUCAUCGAGUCUUUGAACGCACAUUGCGCCCCCUGGUAUUCCGGGGGGCAUGCCUGUCCGAGCGUCAUUGCUGCCCUCAAGCACGGCUUGUGUGUUGGGCCUCCGUCCUCCUCCCGGGGGACGGGCCCGAAAGGCAGCGGCGGCACCGCGUCCGGUCCUCGAGCGUAUGGGGCUUCGUCACCCGCUCUUGUAGGCCCGGCCGGCGCUUGCCGACACAUCAAUCUUUUUUCCAGGUUGACCUCGGAUCAGGUAGGGAUACCCGCUGAACUUAAGCAUAUCAAUAAGCGGAGGA
This 345-nucleotide unclassified non-coding RNA is filed under the name soil metagenome. Its description in RNAcentral is "partial contains 5.8S ribosomal RNA, internal transcribed spacer 2, and large subunit ribosomal RNA". The stretch from base 1 to 120 matches the Rfam family "5.8S ribosomal RNA", at positions 35 to 154 of the family's 154-position model. The record is from RNAcentral.